Molecule: transfer RNA, 68 nt
Filed under: Salamandrina terdigitata (spectacled salamander)
Lineage: Eukaryota; Metazoa; Chordata; Amphibia; Caudata; Salamandridae
Description: tRNA-Ser
Source: RNAcentral
AAGAAGAGUAGUGAUACACAGAAACUGCUAAUUAUCUGAUACUGUGGUUAAAAUCCACAGUCUUCUUA